This 463-nucleotide ribosomal RNA is filed under the name uncultured bacterium. Its description in RNAcentral is "partial 16S ribosomal RNA". It matches the Rfam family "Bacterial small subunit ribosomal RNA", at positions 28 to 507 of the family's 1533-position model. The record is from RNAcentral.
GACGAACGCUGGCGGCGUGCUUAACACAUGCAAGUCGAACGGUGAACCUCUUCAGAGGGGAUCAGUGGCGAACGGGUGAGUAACACGUGGGCAACCUGCCCCCGGCUCUGGGAUAACUCCAAGAAAUUGGGGCUAAUACCGGAUGUUCACCGCUUCCCGCAUGGGUGGUGGUGGAAAGGGUUUCCGGCUGGGGAUGGGCCCGCGGCCUAUCAGCUUGUUGGUGGGGUAGUGGCCUACCAAGGCGACGACGGGUAGCCGGCCUGAGAGGGUGACCGGCCACACUGGGACUGAGACACGGCCCAGACUCCUACGGGAGGCAGCAGUGGGGAAUAUUGCGCAAUGGGCGGAAGCCUGACGCAGCGACGCCGCGUGGGGGAUGACGGCCUUCGGGUUGUAAACCUCUUUCAGCAGGGACGAAGCGCAAGUGACGGUACCUGCAGAAGAAGCACCGGCCAACUACGUG